GGAAAGCGCCUCCAAACGCCAACCAAAACUGAGCCUGUGACUGUCGCAGGUCACGCCCCUGGCUGGUGUGGUCAUGGCCAGCUCGGGCCCCAGGGCUGCAGCGCCUCCGAGUCCUGGGAAUACUCCUUGACUGUAUCGGGACAAGCAAUCUGUGGGCACGAGUGUUUGCCCUCUCACAUGGUCACCUGUAGCUGCAAGGGAGUCAGGCCAGAGAAAGCGUUGCCAUGCUCAUGAUGCGGAAAUGAAGUGCUGCAAAUGGCAGACUCCCCUCCAGCGUACCUAAUGCUAUGGUUCCUUGUCCAUCUGGUCUCCCCAGACUCUUCA
This 324-nucleotide long non-coding RNA is filed under the name Mus spretus (western wild mouse). RNAcentral's name for it is "predicted gene, 30097 (ENSMSPG00010017696.1)". Lineage: Eukaryota; Metazoa; Chordata; Mammalia; Rodentia; Muridae. The record is from RNAcentral.